This 1297-nucleotide ribosomal RNA is filed under the name uncultured Ralstonia sp. Its description in RNAcentral is "bacterial SSU rRNA". It matches the Rfam family "Bacterial small subunit ribosomal RNA", at positions 57 to 1351 of the family's 1533-position model. Lineage: Bacteria; Pseudomonadati; Pseudomonadota; Betaproteobacteria; Burkholderiales; Burkholderiaceae. The record is from RNAcentral.
GCAGUCGAACGGCAGCAUGAUCUAGCUUGCUAGAUUGAUGGCGAGUGGCGAACGGGUGAGUAAUACAUCGGAACGUGCCCUGUAGUGGGGGAUAACUAGUCGAAAGAUUAGCUAAUACCGCAUACGACCUGAGGGUGAAAGUGGGGGACCGCAAGGCCUCAUGCUAUAGGAGCGGCCGAUGUCUGAUUAGCUAGUUGGUGAGGUAAAGGCUCACCAAGGCGACGAUCAGUAGCUGGUCUGAGAGGACGAUCAGCCACACUGGGACUGAGACACGGCCCAGACUCCUACGGGAGGCAGCAGUGGGGAAUUUUGGACAAUGGGGGCAACCCUGAUCCAGCAAUGCCGCGUGUGUGAAGAAGGCCUUCGGGUUGUAAAGCACUUUUGUCCGGAAAGAAAUCGCACUUACUAAUAUUAGGUGUGGAUGACGGUACCGGAAGAAUAAGGACCGGCUAACUACGUGCCAGCAGCCGCGGUAAUACGUAGGGUCCAAGCGUUAAUCGGAAUUACUGGGCGUAAAGCGUGCGCAGGCGGUUGUGCAAGACCGAUGUGAAAUCCCCGGGCUUAACCUGGGAAUUGCAUUGGUGACUGCACGGCUAGAGUGUGUCAGAGGGGGGUAGAAUUCCACGUGUAGCAGUGAAAUGCGUAGAGAUGUGGAGGAAUACCGAUGGCGAAGGCAGCCCCCUGGGAUAACACUGACGCUCAUGCACGAAAGCGUGGGGAGCAAACAGGAUUAGAUACCCUGGUAGUCCACGCCCUAAACGAUGUCAACUAGUUGUUGGGGAUUCAUUUCCUUAGUAACGUAGCUAACGCGUGAAGUUGACCGCCUGGGGAGUACGGUCGCAAGAUUAAAACUCAAAGGAAUUGACGGGGACCCGCACAAGCGGUGGAUGAUGUGGAUUAAUUCGAUGCAACGCGAAAAACCUUACCUACCCUUGACAUGCCACUAACGAAGCAGAGAUGCAUUAGGUGCUCGAAAGAGAAAGUGGACACAGGUGCUGCAUGGCUGUCGUCAGCUCGUGUCGUGAGAUGUUGGGUUAAGUCCCGCAACGAGCGCAACCCUUGUCUCUAGUUGCUACGAAAGGGCACUCUAGAGAGACUGCCGGUGACAAACCGGAGGAAGGUGGGGAUGACGUCAAGUCCUCAUGGCCCUUAUGGGUAGGGCUUCACACGUCAUACAAUGGUGCAUACAGAGGGUUGCCAAGCCGCGAGGUGGAGCUAAUCCCAGAAAAUGCAUCGUAGUCCGGAUCGUAGUCUGCAACUCGACUACGGAAGCUGGAAUCGCUAGUAUCGCGGAUCA